UACGGAGGGUGCAAGCGUUAUCCGGAUUCACUGGGUUUAAAGGGUGCGUAGGUGGGUUGAUAAGUCAGUGGUGAAAUCCCCGAGCUUAACUUGGGAACUGCCAUUGAUACUAUUGAUCUUGAAUACCGUGGAGGUCAGCGGAAUAUGUCAUGUAGCGGUGAAAUGCUUAGAUAUGACAUAGAACACCGAUAGCGAAGGCAGCUUGCUACACAAUUAUUGACACUGAGGCUUGAAAGCGUGGGGAUCAAACAGG
RNAcentral lists this ribosomal RNA (253 nucleotides) under uncultured bacterium. RNAcentral describes it as "partial 16S ribosomal RNA". It matches the Rfam family "Bacterial small subunit ribosomal RNA", at positions 524 to 776 of the family's 1533-position model. The record is from RNAcentral.